AGCUAGAGCACAAACCGCUGAUGAGUCGUUGCUUACAGGACGACCAGCUUCUUGGUAUUUCUUGAUGAUGGCCACUGUUGUUAAGACUGUGAUCUCCUGUAUUGGCCUUUAGUUGGACCGAGAGAACACUAUUUCCUUGGCAUCAGAGGCUCCAUUGGUACUAACUUUGCAUCACUGGUUCAUGAACGACUAGGACAUGAUAGUAGCCCAAUCGCUACCAACAAAACGAAUACUCCCAACCAACACGGCUCUUUUCAACCAAUUAAGUUGUGCUUCUACUCAAGGCAGAUUGAAGAGAUUGCUUGGCUGAAAAAACAGUUUCAGUAGUUUGACAGAGAGACAAGAGCAAGCUAGUACCUGGAGGCCGUUCUCUGGAGAUAUCAGAGAUAUCUUAUCACUGGUGACACUACUCAACAGGCUGGCUUCUAUCAUACACACCAAGGAUUCAACAUUGGCUGGAAAGUAUGAUUCAGAGCACAAGCCGCUGAGUGAG
Long non-coding RNA from Acanthaster planci (crown-of-thorns starfish), 493 nucleotides. Lineage: Eukaryota; Metazoa; Echinodermata; Asteroidea; Valvatida; Acanthasteridae. The record is from RefSeq and is a predicted model, not a curated record.